This 7271-nucleotide long non-coding RNA is filed under the name Erythranthe guttata (spotted monkey flower). RNAcentral describes it as "long non-coding RNA (EGUT_LNC003750)". Lineage: Eukaryota; Viridiplantae; Streptophyta; Magnoliopsida; Lamiales; Phrymaceae. The record is from RNAcentral.
AAUCAGAAGGUUGAAAACUCUAGGUUGUGUUUGGAUCGACGAAAAUGUUAAGUAAACAAAUUAAUUAAAGCACCGCGUAAAACACAUUCAGGUUUUCUAUAUCUUCUUCAAAUCUAAUUCUUCUUCAUUCGAGAAAACACCAUAGCGGUACGUAGUUCAUCUUCAUGGCCGAAUCCCAACAAACACGUGUUUCAUUAGGGUAAAUAAAAUGUUUUUUCGUCGAAAGAAAAUGUUUUUCGUGGAAAGCAAAUGUUCAAUAAUUAUGGUUAUAAAGAAAAGGUUUUUUGACGAAAGCAAAUGUUCAAUUAGGGUAAAGAAAAUGUUUUUCGAAGAAAGCAAAUGUUCAAUUAUGGUAAAGAAAAGGUUUUUUGACGAAAGCAAAUGUUCAAUUAGGGUGAAGAAAAUGUUUUUUGACGAAAGCAAAUGUUCAAUUAGGGUAAAGAAAAUGUUUUUUCGACGAAAGCAAAUUCAUAAUCAGUUUCCUAAAUAUUAGAACCAAACACUAUAUAUAGAGAUCAUCAUCAAAUUCCUCGUUUUUCAUCUGCUUUUGCAUUUUCAUUUCUCCUCAUCUUCAAAAUCCACGAACCAAACAGAGCCUAAACCGAAUGAAUGUAUACCUUAUAUUGCAGCGUUCGACGUAUUGAAAACUCGUGUUCAUCCAUUGCACUGCAGCUUCUUUAGUUUGUACGGAUUCGUAAUCGAAGAGGGUGAUGGUGAGAUCAAUCCCACUUCCAUCGAAUGCCUUCAAAAUAUCUUCGUCCGCGGAAUAAAUUCUCGCCUCUUUAAUCCCGUUUUGCAACAACAAGUCAACCACCAUCGACGGAGUCAGUCUCUGCGCAUUGUUCCUCCCCCAAUUUAUACCUAUUGCGCCUUCACCGCCGCCGAUGCUCAGCCCUAGCAAUAUUGCCGCCACGAUAAACGCCAUCUUGCGUAUCAUCGUCGCCGCCUUCGAUCGACUCGCCCUAAUUGAUCAGAUGAUUUCUCGAUUUAGGGCUUGAUUAAUUGAUGUACCAAGGAAGAUGCAUACAUAUACAUACAUAUACUUUAUAUAUGUAUGUGUGUAUAUAUAUGUAUGAUCUUUUUUUUCUUUUUCUCAGAAAUAUUAGAGCGGAAAAAAUAUAUAUUAUCGAGUUUAUGCUGACGAGAAGGAUUAUAUUAUAUAUAUAUGCAUAAUAAUUUGUGUUGAUGGAAUUUUCCUAUUUUUCUGGGGAGGAAAUGAGAGGUGGCAAUUCAUUUUGUGUUCAUGAAGUCAAUAUGAGAGAUUGUCAAAUUCUUUUGAACGUUGACUUUUUUUCUUUUCUCUUUCUUCUAAUUCUCACCCAUGCUCAAGUUUAAUUCUUGAUGUAUGUUGACCGGAAAUAUAUGAUUAGUUGACUUGACUUGGGGUUUUGUUAGGGGAGAAAAUGAGAGAUACCAAUUCAUUUUAAUAAUAUCCAAAUUUCUAAUCUUAACCAUUCAUAAUGCAUGAAUCAGAUUGAUCCAACGCUUCGAUCUUCUCCGGUGCUCUUUGGACAAAAAUUGCUCAUGUGUUCCUUGAAGAAUGAGCGUAAUUCUUUCUUUCUAUCUUAUUUCAAUCAUAUUUAAAAUUUUACAAUAGUAUAAAUUUAAAAUAUAGGAUAAAAUUUAUUUUACACCCCUAUACUUUGCGAAAUGUAUCAUUUAAAUUACAUAAUUAAUUGACACAAAUUCUAUUGCAUAGUUGUAUGCAAUGAAUAAAUAUUCAUGCAAUACCAAGAUUCUUAGGAAUUAAUAUGGCUCUUUAUUAUUUAUUUUAUCAACUACACAUAAGUUAUGAGGAAAAGUUAUAUUUUCCGUUUGCUCCAAUUCCAUUUUUGGUCCCCAUGUUUCAAGGUGGACAUAAUUAACGUUAAUUUACAACUUUUAAACACAUUUGGUCCACCCCAUUAGUUGGUCGUUAAUGACUAGCGAAAAAUACUUUUUUUGGGGCUACAAUUAGGAUUUAAAGUUGAUUUGGGGCUAAAAAUAAUUUUCAAAAUUAUUCCUUUGAUCAAAAAAAAGAAAACUUAAAUAUAAAGGACUAUUUUCUUAGAAACUCACAUAUACGAUAUCAUUUUCUGGCCAAAGUCAAAGCCUUUGGCGGACCGUUGCAAAGAGUCGUUGAUUUUUUUCUGAUAAAUAUGCCCCCAAUAAUCUCUAUAUUGCUUGGUUUUAGAAUUUUCAUCUUUUCAGCCCCUUUUUUUUUAAUUUUGAUAUUGAAUUCUUGCAUUUUGUUGAGUUUAUUUCCCUAGUGUUUCAAUGUCGUCUAAUAGUUCAAAUUCCCAAUAACCAUGUCUUAUUUUUCCCGAAACAAAUUUAUGGAUUCUAUCAUAUAUGAAACAGGGUAAAAGAGUCAUUGCACACUCAAAUUUAAAGUAAACCGUUAAAGGUCUGACCAUCGACAGUAAGAAAAUAGGUGGCCAAAUUUGAUAUUCUCUAUACAUCAAGGGGGUAAACGACACAUUUCUCAUAGUACAUGGUGCAAAAAUGAAUUUCGGUGGGUGGUUUUCACUUCCUAGCAAUUUAACAAAACCCAAAGGACGGAAAGCAAAAACACAAAAAUUGGUGCAAGAAGUCGAUCUUGUCCACUUUUGGUAGGACGGUAAUUAUCCUGCUGACCCUUGACCACCUCCACCGGGAACACACAACCAUCCGUCGACGGAUCCUCCGCCACCACGACGGCGUAUCCGCCGAAUGAGCACGCGCCCUCGUCCUGGAACUUGGUCUGAAAGUACAUGUUGAACGCGUACGACACGUUGUUCUGAAAACUCAGCCCGCUGCAAGAACCCCCCGGCGCCAGGCUGGUGCAGUCAGCCUUCCGGCAGGCGAGCUUGAAUUGCUCCACCACCGCAGACUUGUUGAAUCCCUUCACCCGAUUCGUGUACACGCACCACCGCUCCGGCAUCCGCAUAAUCCCGUUCGCCUUCGUCGGAAAUAUAUCCCGCCCCUGCCCGGAAAGAUCGAUCUUGUACUUCGGCUCGCCGUUGGUCCGGUAGAUCCCCCAGUGGCGCGCGAAGGGGAAGUAGUCUCCAUUCAUAUUCUCGUCGGUGAGCGCGUGUAUGUACGUGUCGAUCGGUUUCCCCGGCCGCAUUGGCGUCCCUUUGUUGCUGGUUACAUAGGGUAGAAGGUGUUUGUAGAAAUGCUCAGCUGAAGAUGUGUUAGCCCCCGGCAAGCCGUCGGUGGGCCACCCCACCGCCCCCACCACUAUGUCCAAAUCGGGCACCCCGGCUUUUUUUAUCGCCCACACGAACGAAUCGUGCAAGACGGUGAAAUAGUCUGUGUAGACGGCCCCGUUUACGUCCUCGAUGACGUGGCUAGGGCUGUCCGUGGGGCCCGCAAAGUCGAUGCCCAGUUUCUUAUUGAUGACUUGAUAGAUCGGGAGUAAUUCGAUUAUGAGCGGGGCUUUGUUGGCCUCGAGUUGUCGGAGGAAACCGUGCAUUUCUUCCCUGAUCUCGUGUCGAAAAUCGGCUUCGGACGGUUUCGAUACCUUUUCCAUGUUGAGUACGUAGUCGGGAUGCGGCAUCGUGACCUUGAUUUCAUCGGCGUAUGAUCCUUCGUUGAUCGCUUCUUGCAUUGACGUGUAUGCGGUGAGCGCAGCUUGCAAAUCGGUUUUGUUCGUAAUUCCUCUAGAAAAUGCAUCGACUCCUAUAUAAAUGCGCCUGCAAAAAAAAAAAAACGUAUUUUAUUUGUCCAAUAAAUCGUGGAAAUUGAGUGGGGCAACCAUGUCAAAUCAAAAUUUUGCUCAUAUUCAAAUCCGAAGGUCGAAUAUCCUCUUCAAAUUCUUUGUUUUUCAUCUGCUUUUGCAUUUUCAUUUUUCCUCGUCUUCAAAUUCCACGGACCAAACAGAGCCUAAACGAAUGGACAUUGUAAAAAACCGCAAGAGUUUGACAAAGCGCGUUUUGUUAUAUAUAUAUAUAUAUAUAUAUAUGUAUAUAUAUACCUUAUUCUGGAGUUUUCAAGGUACCCAAUUUUCGUGCUGAUCCAUCUCUUGGCGUCGUCUUUACUUGCGAUAGAGGAAAAAUUAAAUAUGGUGACGGUGAGAUCAAUCCCACUUCCGAAAAAUGCCCUCAAGAUAUCCUCUUGCGCAUUAUAAAUUCUCGCCUCUUUAACGCCGUUUUGCAACAGCAAAUCCACCACCAUCGACGGAAUCAAUCUCUGCGCGUUGUUCCUUCCCCAAUUUAUACCUAUCGCACCUUCCCCGCCGCCGAUGUUCAGCCCUAGCAAAAUCGCCGCCAUGAUAAACGCUAUUUUGCAUAUCAUCUUCGUUCGACUCGCCCUAGUUCAGAUAAUUUCUCGAUCUAGGGCUUGAUUAGUUAUGUACGAAGGAAGAUGCAUACAUAUAUACAUGCAUAUACAUACAUAUAUGUAUGUAUAUAUAUAUGUUCAUGUAUGUACAUAUAUGUGAAUGGGUAUAUGUACGAUCUUUUUCGUUUUCUGAGAAGAAGAGCGGGAAAAAGAUAUAUUAUCGAGUUCGUUUAUGCUAACGACGAGGAUUAUAUACAUGCAUAAUAAUUUGUUGAUGGAGGUUUCCUAUUUUCUUGGGGAGAUCAAAUGAGAGAUGGCUAUUCAUUUUCUGUCCAUGAAGUUAAAACGAGAGAUCACAGUUUCUUUCCUUUUUUUAAUUUAAUUUUUAUUUUUAUUUUUUAUUUUUAAUUUUUAAUAUUUUCUUUAUAAUUCUCACGCAUGCUCAAGUUUAAUUCUUGAUUUAUGUUGACCGGAAAUAUAUGAUUAGUUGACUUAAUUUGGGGUUUUGUUGGGGGAGAAAAUGAGAGAUACAUACUCAUUUUCUUAUCCAUGCAAUUUUUUUUAAGAAAAGGCAACAUUUUUAAUCACUAAAAACUUGUCGUUAAUUUUUUUUUUUUUUUUUGGGUACUAGAAGUGGUCUAUCUAAUACACUAUUCCUCAAUACAAAAAAUAAAAUCAGAGCUCGAUUUUUCGACAAUUUACGGCUUACCCAAAAGUUUAUUGUACUAGUCGAACAUCGAAUAACGUCAACAUAUAUAAUGUUGUGGUAUGUGGCGCGCUAAGGAGCACCGAGAUUGCGGAAGUAGAUGGUUGUGAUAAUUUGUCACGAGCAAAACAUUAUAUUUGUUUGUAUUUCGGGAAAAUAUUUAAGUAGAGUUUAGAAAAUAAACUAUUUUUCUGAAAUGAGUUGAUGUCUUCUCUGCUUAUAAAGCAUCGAAUCCUUGCAUUUACGGUAAUCGAACUAUUAUCAAAAUAAAACGAGGGUUUCUUUAGUAAUUAAACAAAACAAAGGGGGUACUGAAUGCAAUAAACCCAAAUAUUAACUACCGAUUUUUCAUAUUGUUAAAAAACAAGAUCGAGUUAAAUAAGACAUAACAAGUUAACCGCAGUUAAAACAACUUAUCAGAUGUGAGAGCUUAUCAACUGUUUAAAAUAAGUUCAGCCAAACGGGCCCUAAGUCUAGGAUUCAUAGUUAAGGGGAAAUAUAUACCGCCCUUGAUCCGACAGAUCGAUCUUGUACUUGGGCUCGACGUUGCUCCUGUAAAUCCCCCAGUGGCGCGCGAAAUCAUAUCCAAAAGGGUUUAAAUUCUCGUCGUUUAGUGCGUGCAUGUAGGUGUCAAUGGGGUUCAAAUGCGCGUUCUUUAACGAGAAUAAAUUAACCAAAAACGAAAACCUCUAACCACUAAAGUUUAUACGAAAACAACGAAAGCAAAAAAAAAAAUUCUGUAAAUAUUAGUAUAUCUAUAAUUAUAAUUUCGUUAUGUAUCUAUAUAUUAUGUAUUGCAUGUUAUUUAAAAAAAAAACUUUAUUUAUCAAAAUUUCAGAGUUUCACAACUUUUUGGUAUUUGAAUAGAUCUAAAAAAAACCCCCAAAUUCAAAAACGGAUUGGAAAGGAAAAACCCUAAUUUCGUACAAGAUUGUUGCAACUUUCUAGCAAUUUAACAAUACCCAAAAAGACGGAAAGCAAAGACACAGAGAACGGUGCGAAAAGACGAUCUUGCCCACUUUUGAAAAUGAAAUUUUCUUGUUGACCCUUGACCACCUCCACCGGGAACACGCAUUCAUCCGUCGACGGAUCCUCCGUCACCACGGUGGCGUAGCCGCCGAACACGCACUCCCUCUCGUCCUGAAACAUCAUCUGGAAGUACAUGUUGAACGCGUACGACACGUUCAGAGUGAAGCUCAGCCCGCUGCAAGAAGCCCCUGGCGCCAAGCUGGUGCAGUCAGCUCGUUUGCAUGCGUAUUUGAACUCUUCAAUCACCCUACUCUUGUUGUACCCCUUCAUGUUUUCCUUGUACACGCACCACCGCUCCGGCAUCCGCAUAAUCCCCUUUGCCCUCGCCGGAAAUAUAUCCCGCCCUUGCCCGGAAAGAUCAAUCUUGUACUUCGGCUCGCCGUUGGUCCGGUAGAUCCCCCAGUGGCGCGCGUAGGGGAAGUAGUCUCCAUUCAUAUUCUCGUCGGUGAGCGCGUGUACGUAGGUGUCGAUGGGUUUCCCGGGCCGCAUUGGCGUGCCUUUGUUGCUGAUCACAUAGGGCAGAAGGUGUUUGAAGAAAUGCUCGGCUGUAGAUGUGUUCCCCCCCGGGAAGCCGUCGGUGGGCCACCCCACCGCCCCCACCACUAUAUCCAAAUCGGGCACCCCGGCUUUGUUUAUUGCCCACACGAAUGAAUCGUGCAAGAAGGUGAAAUAGUCUGUGUAGAUGGCCCCGUUUACGUCUUUGAUGACGUGGCUAGGGUUUUCCGAGGGGCCCGCGAAGUCAAUGGACAGAUUUUUUAGGAGGACGUAAUAGAUCGGGAGUAAUUCAAUGACGAGUGGGGCUUUGUCGGCCUCGAGGAGUCGGAGGAAACCGUGCAUUUCUUCCUUGAUCUCGGGUCGGAAAUCGGCUUCGGACGGUCUCGUUAUGUUUUCGACGUUCAGUAUAAUGUCGGGAUGCGGCAUCGUUGCCUUGACGUAAUCGUAUCCGGAAUCAUUGAGCGCGGCUCGCAUGAAAUUGUACGCCCUGAGUGAAUUAUUCAGAGACUUUUUGUCCGUAAUUCCUUGAGCAAAUGCAUCGAAUCCUAUAUAAAUGCGCCUGUAAACCCAAAAAAAAAAAAAACGUUUUUUGUAGUAAUAAAUCAGAAGGUUGAAAGGUCUAGGUUGCGUUUGGAUCAAGGAACAUGUUAAGUAAAAAUAUUAAAGGAUUGCGUAAACAGAUUUUCCGUUUGGUUAGGUGUUAAUUCAACACUAAAUAAAUGAUUUGUAGUAAUAAUAUUUUACGACAUUACCUAUUAAAAAAAACGAGGAAAACUACACGUAAAAUGCAACAGGUUUU